RNA transcript from Salvia splendens (bonfire salvia), 1177 nucleotides. It is a transcript of the gene named 33 kDa ribonucleoprotein, chloroplastic, with no coding region annotated. The transcript has 6 exons. Lineage: Eukaryota; Viridiplantae; Streptophyta; Magnoliopsida; Lamiales; Lamiaceae. The record is from RefSeq and is a predicted model, not a curated record.
CAAAUAUCUCAUCUCAUCUUCCCUCCCUUAUCCUUCCCCUCUCCCACUCAUCUACAACACUCAAGUGAAAAUUCCAAUCAAUCCCACCAUCACCAAAUUGAAUCCUCCAACAAUGGCCGCCGCAUUUCGAGCUCUUUACUUCCCUCCGUCCACUUCCCACACUCAUCUCCCGCUACCCAACCACCGCCUCCUUCUCUCCGUCGCCGCCAGGCCUCGCAAAUCCAAUCUCCAUCUAUUCCUCAACGCUCCGCUCCGUGCCCUACCUUCUAUCCAAUCCGAAUCGCCGAAGGAAAUUGCCGCCGAAUCAGAAGAAGAAUUUUCCACAACGAGGUUGCUCGUCCAGAAUGUUCCAUGGACGUCCACCGCGGACGAUCUCCGCCCGCUCUUCGAGCAGUACGGAACCGUUGUUGAAAUUGAGUUUUCAAUGUAUAAUAAAGAGAGGAAUAGAGGUCUUGCGUUUGUAACUAUGGGUUCACCCGAUGAAGUGCUUGCAGCUUUCAACGGUCUCGAAGCUUCGGAGUAUGGGGGUAGAGUGUUGAAGCUUAAUUGGGCUAAGCCAAAGAAGCCGAAGCUUCCCUCUUCCCCGCCGCGGCCUAAGCCAGUGCACAAUUUGUUUGUCACGUUUCUGCCGUUUCGGGCGAGGGCCAAGGACCUCAAGGAGUUCUUCAAUGCUCACAAUGCUAAUGCAGUUUCUGCUGAUGUAAUAUUCCGUGAUAAUCCUAAGCGAUCAGCUGGUUAUGGCUUUGUGUCUUUCAACACUAAGGCAGAGGCUGAUGCAGCACUCGUUGCAUUGCAAGGAAAGGAGUUUAUGGGGAGAAACUUACGCAUAGCACCGAGCAAGAGAUUCUUGAGGCCGGAAACAAAGGCAGCUAUCGAGUCAGGAAAUGAAAGUGAAUCGAACUCUUCUGAGAAACUUGAGGAGACAUCAUCUACUGAGGUGGAAUAAAAUGAGGCUGAGUAGGAUGAAGUAAUGUAAUUACAACGGCAUUGGAGUUUUGAGCAGGAAGGUUGAGCGGCGAUGGGGAGGACGGAUGUUGAGCAGUUAAAGUCAAAAUGCGUUUCACUUUGUUUUGGAUAAUGUCGUGUCGUCAUACCCGGCAUUAUCUGUCUCUUGAUCUUUUUCCGCUGCUUGUAAUCCGAAACAAUGUUUUCAUUUAAACUCUGUUUACAUUAACUC